Camelina sativa (false flax) is the source of this 423-nucleotide non-coding RNA. Lineage: Eukaryota; Viridiplantae; Streptophyta; Magnoliopsida; Brassicales; Brassicaceae. The record is from RefSeq and is a predicted model, not a curated record.
UGAUAUCACAGGUCAUGAAAUUCGAGGAUCUCAAGGAACUCGGCAAUGAACCUGCAGUCAAGGCUGCAGGAAAGUACAGACAGGAGGGGAAAACAUAUGUUGUUCAGGACGGGGAUAUCAUUUUCUUCAAGUUCAAUGUUUCUGGUGGUGGGAAGAAAUGAGACCCAUCUCUCUACCUAUUCGCGGUAUUCUCUCUGGAUCUGAAAGCUUUAUCCAGUUCCGAGAGAGGAACCGAACUGUAUUUUCUGUUCUGAAAGUUACAGUUUUUGAGUGUAUUUUCUUUACCAAACAAAAAAAGUAUUUUGUAACUCUUGUUCGGUUGUUCCUUUUACUUUUCAGCUUAGCUAAGACAUGUCUUUUACCUUGAGACAGAGCAUUAAGCCUACUAUAUCGUUUACAACUCUUUCAAUAAGUUUUUCUCCA